UACAGAGGCCUCGAGCGUUAGGCGGAAUCACUGGGCUUAAAGCGUGUGUAGGCGGAUCGUUAAGUACCUUGUGAAAUCCCUCGGCUUAACCGGGGAACUGCGUCUGAUACUGGAUGGCUUGAGUUUGGGAGAGGGAUGCGGAAUUCCAGGUGUAGCGGUGAAAUGCGUAGAUAUCUGGAGGAACACCGGUGGCGAAGGCGGCAUCCUGGACCAACACUGACGCUGAGUGAGCGAAAGCCAGGGGAGCAAACGGG
Molecule: ribosomal RNA, 254 nt
Filed under: uncultured bacterium
Lineage: Bacteria
Description: partial 16S ribosomal RNA
Rfam family: Bacterial small subunit ribosomal RNA
Source: RNAcentral